RNAcentral lists this ribosomal RNA (529 nucleotides) under uncultured Actinomycetes bacterium. Its description in RNAcentral is "bacterial SSU rRNA". It matches the Rfam family "Bacterial small subunit ribosomal RNA", at positions 356 to 896 of the family's 1533-position model. Lineage: Bacteria; Bacillati; Actinomycetota; Actinomycetes. The record is from RNAcentral.
GGGGAAUAUUGGGCAAUGGACGAAAGUCUGACCCAGCGACGCCGCGUGCGGGAUGAAGGCCUUCGGGUUGUAAACCGCUUUCAGCAGGGAAUAAGCGCAAGUGAAGGUACCUGCAGAAGAAGCACCGGCUAACUAUGUGCCAGCAGCCGCGGUAAUACAUAGGGUGCAAGCGUUGUCCGGAAUUAUUGGGCGUAAAGAGCUCGUAGGUGGUUUGUUACGUCGGUUGUGAAAUUCAGGGGCUCAACCCCUGACUUGCAGCCGAUACGGGCAAGCUAGAGUUUGGUAGGGGAGACUGGAAUUCCUGGUGUAGCGGUGGAAUGCGCAGAUAUCAGGAGGAACACCGAUGGCGAAGGCAGGUCUCUGGGCCAAUACUGACACUGAGGAGCGAAAGCGUGGGGAGCGAACAGGAUUAGAUACCCUGGUAGUCCACGCCGUAAACGGUGGGCGCUAGUUGUGCGAACCUUCCACGGUUUGUGCGACGCAGCUAACGCAUUAAGCGCCCCGCCUGGGGAGUACGAUCGCAAGAUUA